AUUGAACGCUGGCGGCAUGCUUUACACAUGCAAGUCGAACGGCAGCGCGGGCUUCGGCCUGGCGGCGAGUGGCGAACGGGUGAGUAAUACAUCGGAACGUGCCCAGUAGUGGGGGAUAGCUCGGCGAAAGCCGGAUUAAUACCGCAUACGACCUGAGGGUGAAAGCGGGGGAUCUUCGGACCUCGCGCUAUUGGAGCGGCCGAUGGCAGAUUAGCUAGUUGGUGGGGUAAAGGCCUACCAAGGCGACGAUCUGUAGCUGGCCUGAGAGGACGACCAGCCACACUGGGACUGAGACACGGCCCAGACUCCUACGGGAGGCAGCAGUGGGGAAUUUUGGACAAUGGGCGAAAGCCUGAUCCAGCAAUGCCGCGUGCGUGAUGAAGGCCUUCGGGUUGUAAAGCACUUUUGGCGGGAACGAAAAGGACUGUGCCAAUACCACGGUUCGAUGACGGUACCCGCAGAAUAAGCACCGGCUAACUACGUG
RNAcentral lists this ribosomal RNA (484 nucleotides) under uncultured bacterium. RNAcentral's name for it is "partial 16S ribosomal RNA". It matches the Rfam family "Bacterial small subunit ribosomal RNA", at positions 29 to 507 of the family's 1533-position model. The record is from RNAcentral.